Molecule: unclassified non-coding RNA, 308 nt
Filed under: fungal sp.
Lineage: Eukaryota; Fungi
Description: partial internal transcribed spacer region
Rfam family: Eukaryotic small subunit ribosomal RNA (bases 1-45)
Source: RNAcentral
AGUCGUAACAAGGUAUCCGUAGGUGAACCUGCGGAUGGAUCAUUAACAAAGGUGUUUUUGAAGUUGUGUGAACAGUUGGAGGUGGUGGUAUUGGGUGGUGGUAUUGGGUGGUGGUAUUGGGUGGUAUUGGGUGGUAUUGAGUGGUGUAACCUUGGUCUAACCUUGGUCAACCUCACUCAACCUCACUCAACCUCACUCUCCCAACCUCACUCUCCCAACCUCCACCACUCCGUCCCUAUAAUGUAUACAAACUGAUGUCUGCUAGUUUCAAACUAAAACAACUUUUAGCAACGGAUCUCUUGGCUCUC